This 300-nucleotide ribosomal RNA is filed under the name uncultured Halogeometricum sp. RNAcentral describes it as "bacterial SSU rRNA". It matches the Rfam family "Bacterial small subunit ribosomal RNA", at positions 496 to 795 of the family's 1533-position model. The record is from RNAcentral. Lineage: Archaea; Methanobacteriati; Methanobacteriota; Halobacteria; Halobacteriales; Haloferacaceae.
GCUAACUCCUGGCGCGCAGCCGCGGAAAAACGGAGGUGGCAAGCGUUAAGCGGAAUUACUAGUCGGAAAGCGGACGCAUGCGGUCUGUCAAGUCGGAUGUGAAAUCCCCGGGCUCAACCUGGGAACUGCAUUCGAAACUGGCAGGCUAGAGUCUUGUAGAGGGGGGUAGAAUUCCAGGUGUAGCGGUGAAAUGCGUAGAGAUCUGGAGGAAUACCGGUGGCGAAGGCGGCCCCCUGGACAAAGACUGACGCUCAGGUGCGAAAGCGUGGGGAGCAAACAGGAUUAGAUACCCGGGUAGUC